RNAcentral lists this ribosomal RNA (207 nucleotides) under uncultured Phyllobacteriaceae bacterium. Its description in RNAcentral is "partial 16S ribosomal RNA". It matches the Rfam family "Bacterial small subunit ribosomal RNA", at positions 568 to 774 of the family's 1533-position model. The record is from RNAcentral. Lineage: Bacteria; Pseudomonadati; Pseudomonadota; Alphaproteobacteria; Hyphomicrobiales; Phyllobacteriaceae.
CACGUAGGCGGAUAUUUAAGUUAGGGGUGAAAUCCCAGGGCUCAACCCUGGAACUGCCUCUAAUACUGGGUAUCUCGAGUCCGAGAGAGGUGAGUGGAAUUCCGAGUGUAGAGGUGAAAUUCGUAGAUAUUCGGAGGAACACCAGUGGCGAAGGCGGCUCACUGGCUCGGUACUGACGCUGAGGUGCGAAAGCGUGGGGAGCAAACA